This 87-nucleotide transfer RNA is filed under the name Verrucomicrobia bacterium CG1_02_43_26. RNAcentral's name for it is "tRNA-Leu". It matches the Rfam family "tRNA". From Rfam's summary of the family: Transfer RNA (tRNA) molecules are approximately 80 nucleotides in length. Their secondary structure includes four short double-helical elements and three loops (D, anti-codon, and T loops). RNAcentral also lists the same sequence under 3 other names. Lineage: Bacteria; Pseudomonadati; Verrucomicrobiota. The record is from RNAcentral.
GCCCAGAUGGCGGAAUCGGCAGACGCGGUGGACUCAAAAUCCACUUCCCGCGAGGGAGUGGGGGUUCGACUCCCCCUUUGGGCACCA